Non-coding RNA from Poecilia reticulata (guppy), 626 nucleotides. Lineage: Eukaryota; Metazoa; Chordata; Actinopteri; Cyprinodontiformes; Poeciliidae. The record is from RefSeq and is a predicted model, not a curated record.
GCACCAGCAACCCUCCCGACCCCACUGAGGGACAAGGGUGUGAUGCAAACACCAGCAGUCCUGGAGAAGGAGAUUUAUCUGGAGGUUUUAUUCCUGUUGCUGGAGUUCUUGUACUGGUUUUCAUCAGUAUAGCUGGAAUCAUUCUGGGAGUUAUCUAUUGCAACUUCUGUCAUCGAAGAAAACCGCUGGAAGCCUUGAUGUGGCGUGAAACAAACAGUACAGUGUUAUAUAAGGAAGCAGUGGAGUCUGAGCCGUACCUCAAACAGGAAGAGCUGAGGCUUUGCUCUAAUGUCAGUGGUCUGUUGAUAAAAUAUAAAUAMAUGAAAUGUGGGCAGCGAUGGUCUUUAUUAAUGAAUGAAACCAUCGUUUCAAAAUGUUUCAUUGACUCUGGUCUCUGGUUCUUUUUCUGGUACUAAUAUUUGACUUUGAAUUUCUGGGAUUUAAAAGAAGUCUAGUGUUUUAUAUAUUUUGAAUGCAUCUACAGAUUUUGGAGUGUUCGUCCCUUUUCAUAUAGKAUUAAACUUGGUUUAAUACAUGAUGACAUGUUGAGAUCUGUAGUGUGUUUUCAUGCACUUGACAUUAGUUUGAACUUGUUUCUUAAUGUAUUUAACACCAGAUCAUUUGUA